GGUGCAGAGAGGGCAGGGCACUGAUGUGAACACUCAUUUGGAGACGUUUUAGGUUCCUGCAACAUGUGCAGUGGAAUUCUCAGCUGCAUGCGUGGAGACAACAGUCCUGCUUCCUGAAGUGUCAUUGUCUUAGGUGGUAUCAUCUCCACCACAAAUGGGAUGGUGAGCAAAGAGGCCAGGUGGUUAUGGGGCGACAACAAAACACUGUGGCUGGCCUGCCAGGCCUGGGUGCAUUCCUCGUGCCUCGUCAGGAGAAGGUGCCCUUCAAAGAUGCUUUGUGGGAAUAAACAACAACUGGCACCAAGAGACCCACAU
Long non-coding RNA from Engraulis encrasicolus (European anchovy), 315 nucleotides. RefSeq lists it as uncharacterized. The transcript has 4 exons. NCBI's taxonomy places the organism in Eukaryota, Metazoa, Chordata, Actinopteri, Clupeiformes, Engraulidae. The record is from RefSeq and is a predicted model, not a curated record.